Molecule: unclassified non-coding RNA, 703 nt
Filed under: Hevea brasiliensis (rubber tree)
Lineage: Eukaryota; Viridiplantae; Streptophyta; Magnoliopsida; Malpighiales; Euphorbiaceae
Source: RNAcentral
GGAAUUUCAUAAAAUACCACAACAUGUGAACUAAGGUCAAAGAUAAAAUUGCAUGUGACUACCAUUAUUGUAACUCAUAACUUAAACCUUAACAGCCAAGCAGCAUAAUGAGAACAGAUUAAAAUCUAGAACUCACAGAAUACUUUCAAAGCUCAAGAAUAUUAUUCUUUAGCACAAUAAAACAGAAACUAGGGAUCACAUUCAUGUAUGGAGACACCAGCCAGUUCUACCACAGAGAAGCAUAAGUUGGACUUCAUAUCUCUUUCCAAAGCAAGGCACAUGCUUGGUGAGCUUGACACACUCAUUUUAAAAAUCCAUAAAAUUGUUUUUGUUUCCAUAAAAAGUUCUUAUACUUGAUGUUUCCAGGAAUUGGCAUAAAUUGAAGCACCAGCUCCAUCAACAACCAAAUAAAGUUGCCCAUCACUACUAUCAAAAACACAAGCUUUGACAAAGAGCCUUUUGACCAAAUGCUUAUGUCAGCUUCAGUAAACAUUAUUCCAAACCCAUUUCAAAAUCAUAGAUUUCAUCUAGGUGAUGAGCAUAGAUCAGCCUUUCUCAUAUUCAGUACUACAGCAUAUUUGAUAUUACAUUGUCGACAUUGACAAUAGUGGCAAGAACAAAGGUGAAAACCUUGAAUAAAAUUAAUGCAUUACCAACAACAACAACUACAACUAAGCCUUAAUCCCAAGCCAGUUGGGGUCAG